GGGUUUGAUCAUGGGCUCAGGACGAACGCUGGCGGCGUGCCUAAUACAUGCAAGUCGAGCGAGUCUGCCUUGAAGAUCGGAGUGCUUGCACUCUGUGAAACAAGAUACAGGCUAGCGGCGGACGGGUGAGUAACACGUGGGUAACCUGCCCAAGAGAUCGGGAUAACACCUGGAAACAGAUGCUAAUACCGGAUAACAACAGAUGAUGCCUAUCAACUGUUUAAAAGAUGGUUCUGCUAUCACUCUUGGAUGGACCUGCGGUGCAUUAGCUAGUUGGUAGGGUAACGGCCUACCAAGGCGAUGAUGCAUAGCCGAGUUGAGAGACUGAUCGGCCACAUUGGGACUGAGACACGGCCCAAACUCCUACGGGAGGCAGCAGUAGGGAAUCUUCCACAAUGGACGCAAGUCUGAUGGAGCAACGCCUCGUGAGUGAAGAAGGGUUUUCGGCUCGUUAAAGCUCUUGUUGUUGGUGAAUAAGGAC
This 481-nucleotide ribosomal RNA is filed under the name uncultured Bacillota bacterium. RNAcentral describes it as "bacterial SSU rRNA". It matches the Rfam family "Bacterial small subunit ribosomal RNA", at positions 9 to 453 of the family's 1533-position model. Lineage: Bacteria; Bacillati; Bacillota. The record is from RNAcentral.